GGCGGGGUACCCAAGCGGUCAACGGGGACCGGCUGUAAACCGGUUGGCUCAGUCCUUCGCAGGUUCGAAUCCUGCCCCCGCCA
Molecule: transfer RNA, 83 nt
Filed under: Actinomycetes bacterium
Lineage: Bacteria; Bacillati; Actinomycetota; Actinomycetes
Also listed under: 1 other name
Description: Actinobacteria bacterium tRNA-Tyr
Rfam family: tRNA
About the family: Transfer RNA (tRNA) molecules are approximately 80 nucleotides in length. Their secondary structure includes four short double-helical elements and three loops (D, anti-codon, and T loops). Further hydrogen bonds mediate the characteristic L-shaped molecular structure. tRNAs have two regions of fundamental functional importance: the anti-codon, which is responsible for specific mRNA codon recognition, and the 3' end, to which the tRNAs corresponding amino acid is attached (by aminoacyl-tRNA synthetases). tRNAs cope with the degeneracy of the genetic code in two manners: having more than one tRNA (with a specific anti-codon) for a particular amino acid; and 'wobble' base-pairing, i.e. permitting non-standard base-pairing at the 3rd anti-codon position.
Source: RNAcentral